Molecule: ribosomal RNA, 529 nt
Filed under: uncultured fungus
Lineage: Eukaryota; Fungi
Description: SSU rRNA
Rfam family: Eukaryotic small subunit ribosomal RNA
Source: RNAcentral
GAAGUGUAAACCAAACAUUUACUUUGAAAAAAUUAGAGUGUUCAAAGCAGGCCUUUGCUCGAAUAUAUUAGCAUGGAAUAAUAGAAUAGGACGUAUGGUUCUAUUUUGUUGGUUUCUAGGACCGUCGUAAUGAUUAAUAGGGACGGUCGGGGGCAUCAGUAUUCAGUUGUCAGAGGUGAAAUUCUUGGAUUUACUGAAGACUAACUACUGCGAAAGCAUUUGCCAAGGACGUUUUCAUUAAUCAAGAACGAAAGUUAAGGGAUCGAAGACGAUCAGAUACCGUCGUAGUCUUAACCGUAAACUAUGCCGACUAGGGAUCGGAGGGCGUUAUAAUAACCUCUCCGGCACCUUACGAGAAAUCAAAGUUUUUGGGUUCUGGGGGGAGUAUGGUUGCAAGGCUGAAACUUAAAGGAAUUGACGGAAGGGCACCACCAGGAGUGGAGCCUGCGGCUUAAUUUGACUCAACACGGGGAAACUCACCAGGUCCAGACACAAUAAGGAUUGACAGAUUGAGAGCUCUUUCAUGAUU